GAACGUCAUCCCCACCUUCCUCCAGGUUAUCCCUGGCAGUCCCUCUAGAGUGCCCAACUUAAUGCUGGCAACUAAAGGCAAGGGUUGCGCUCGUUGCGGGACUUAACCCAACAUCUCACGACACGAGCUGACGACAACCAUGCACCACCUGUCACUUCUGUCCCCGAAGGGAAAGAUGCGAUUAGGCAUCGGUCAAAAGGAUGUCAAGCUUAGGUAAGGUUCUUCGCGUUGCUUCGAAUUAAACCACAUGCUCCGCUACUUGUGCGGGUCCCCGUCAAUUCCUUUGAGUUUUAACCUUGCGGCCGUACUCCCCAGGCGGGGCACUUAAUGCGUUAGCUACGGCACGGACCCCGUUGGUUAGGGCCCACACCUAGUGCCCAACGUUUACGGCGUGGACUAC
Molecule: unclassified non-coding RNA, 400 nt
Filed under: uncultured fungus
Lineage: Eukaryota; Fungi
Description: sequence contains ITS1
Source: RNAcentral